UGAAGUGUUUCCUGGAAUGUUUGCUUGUGGAUCCCGAGUGAGGCAUUUUCUCUAACCUGUUUUCUCUUUUAUGAGUCCUAAGGGACCAUGGGAGGCUUCGGGGAGGCUGAUCUUUGCGGACGGACACGCAAGGGUGCCGCACGACUUAGGCAAAACCAGCUAAGUCCGUGACUUAGGCAACGAAACUUUUCCUCAUUAUUAGAAUCUCUGGAAAGAUGAGGAGAGCUAUUGAUGUUUCUGUUAAGAAAGAGUUUAGGAUAGUGAUCUGAUUGGGGCUUUAUGCAAUUUUUAAUUUCCUGCAAUUUUGUGGAAUUCAAACAUGUUUAAGAAAACAGAAAGAUUUGGAUACAGAAUGAGAUCUACAUUCAUGUAUGAACUAUGGUCAAAUGUGAUCUUAAGGAGAAAUAUAAAUCGUGCAAAUCGGAAUCUGUAGCAAACACUGUAAAUGCUAAUGUGUACUGAAAUAAAGACUUUGCAGAUAAUGUGUUGUAAAAGAGAUGAUGCACAGACUAUAUUUUCGACAUAGAGAUCUGAAACUGUUCAGUCCUACCUGUUGGAAAGAAUAAAAGACAAGAAGAAUUAUUGAAGAAGCUUUAUUGAAGAAGCUUUAAUGCAUUAACAUGUUUCUCUCCUAUUUAUACAGAUUUGGAGGGAAGAUUUCCCUCAACAGAAUAGAGGAUUUUCGUCGUAUAGAUGGGGAAAUCUUAUCUGCUAUCAUGCCCCCACAAGAUGGUGCUCCUGUCAAGGAUACCAAUCUUGGAUCGAUGAAAAACAAACAGUUUACAAGCUAGAGGCUUUGUGAGUAGAGCAAGAGCAGAUCGCUACUGCUAUUGUUGCUAUUGCUGCGGUUGCGAUAGCGACGACGAGUAGAGGUGCAGCAGAGGAGGUAGCUACAAGCAGCAGAGGUGUAAUAGAAGAGAAAGUUGUAGCAGAGGUGCAGUAGAGGAGAAAGCUGCAGCAGUGGUGCAAUAGAGGAGGAAACUACAGUAGAGGUGCAGCAGAGGAGAAAGCUGCAGCGAUGCUAUAGUAGAGGAGAAAGCUGCAACAGAAGUGCAAUAGAGGAGAAAGCUACAGUAGAGGAGCAGUAAUGCUAUAACAGAGAAGAAAGCUGUAGCAGAGGUGGAAAAACCUGGUUAGUGCAAGCAACGCCGGUAAAGAAGAAGGCCCCAUGGAGGAGAAGAGGGAAGGAGCGGGCAAGGGAUGUGGUGAAUGGCAAGCUUCGAUGACCAUAGAGCCUCGCUCGACUCACCUGCUCUGAUACCAUGUUGGAAAAAAUAAAAGACAAGAAGAAUUAUUGAAGAAGCUUUAUUGAAAAAAGCUUGAAUACAUUAACAUGUUUCUCUCCUAUUUAUAUAGAUUAGGAGAGAAGAUUUCCCUCAACAGAAUAGAGGAUUUUUCUCGUAUAGUUGGGGAAAUUUUAUCUGCUAUCACUACCAUCUACGGUGUCAUGAAUGUUACCUUUGCUAUGAUCGCGGAGUAGGAUUCUACACACAUUUGAGCGGCAAAGGACAACUAGAGAUUGCGAUAAGUGGCACUAAGCAUAUGGACAUGGUAGAAGGUGAGGAAGUCAAUGUAUGCAGUCACAUGGAGAGGCAGAAAAAACCUAGAAAGUCACACAUCAAAUUGCCAGAUGAAGCUGCCCUAGGCAACCUUUUUUAUUUUUGUUUUUUGUUAUUUGUUCUUGUUCCUUCCUCCACUCUUCAUCUCCUCUUGUGUACAGUUCCUUGGACGAUUAAACUCUUGGUUCGAUGGUGCAUAUGAUCCUGGAUAAUCAUUCUGUGAGUUUUACUAGAUGUGUAGUGAUUUUGCAAUGGCAG
This 1817-nucleotide long non-coding RNA is filed under the name Musa acuminata (dwarf banana). RNAcentral's name for it is "long non-coding RNA (MACU_LNC003367)". Lineage: Eukaryota; Viridiplantae; Streptophyta; Magnoliopsida; Zingiberales; Musaceae. The record is from RNAcentral.